UAAAGAUUGCUUUUAUAGAUUUAAAAUUUGAUUAUGGUUUUUAAAUUUUAAAAUAAUAUUAUUUAAGUUUAAUUUAUGUAGUGGGCAAUGUUAAUUUACCCCGGUAAUUAAUUAUUUGUAUAAUACUUGUUCCAGAAUAAUCGGCUAGGCUUGUUAAAAUUUAUACUUUAUUUUGUUUUAAUUAUAAUUUUAAGUAGUGGUUUUUAUAAUUAUAGGUUAAAUUUUAAUUAAUUUAAAGUUAAAAGUUAUAAUUUUAAGUUUUGGAAAACGAAUUAGAUUAGUACCUAAUUAGUCAAAAGUUAAAAGAGCAGGAGUAAAGUGGUAUUUAAACUGAAAGAAUAUUGGCAGAUUUUCUAAAUUAUCUUUGGAGGUUGAGUAAUAAUUGAGAACCCUCAUUAACUACUUUUUAGUUUGUCUCAUGUAUGAUCGUUUAUUUUAUACUUAAGGUAUAUAAUAAAAAAUUUUUAUUUAAUAAAAUAGAUAUAUAUUUGGUUUAUGUAAAAGUUUAAUUUGACCUACAAUAGUAUAAUUUUGUGGAUUUAUAAUUUAGUAAUUAUAAUGAAAAUGUAAAAGACAGUAAAAAAAUUUUUAUGAUUUUUUGAAGAUUAUUUAGAUGUGGUACAAAUCAUCCAUCAAUUGCCCAAAGGGGAGUAAGUUGUAGUAAAGUAGAUUUAGGGGAACCUAAAUCUAAUAAU
This 695-nucleotide non-coding RNA is filed under the name Ancylostoma caninum (dog hookworm). The record is from RNAcentral. Lineage: Eukaryota; Metazoa; Nematoda; Chromadorea; Rhabditida; Ancylostomatidae.